Molecule: small RNA, 559 nt
Filed under: Pan troglodytes (chimpanzee)
Lineage: Eukaryota; Metazoa; Chordata; Mammalia; Primates; Hominidae
Description: retained intron
Source: RNAcentral
AAACCUCAUGCGGACCUGUGGGGUAGGUACUGUUGCUAUCAGCUCCAUUUCAUAGGGCUGGGAAGACAGAGGGGGUCAUCACUUGCCCAAGGUCAUUCAGCUAAAACCUGGACCCACACGACUGCAGAGUCUGUGCUUGCUCCUCUCUGCCAUACUGCCUGCUGCCUCAGGAUCCCCGUCCCCGACUCCCAGGUACUUCCGGAACCUGUGCUCAGAUGACACCCCCAUGGUGCGGCGGGCCGCAGCCUCCAAGCUGGGGGAGUUUGCCAAGGUGCUGGAGCUGGACAACGUCAAGAGUGAGAUCAUCCCCAUGUUCUCCAACCUGGCCUCUGACGAGCAGGACUCGGUGCGGCUGCUGGCGGUGGAGGCGUGCGUGAACAUCGCCCAGCUUCUGCCCCAGGAGGAUCUGGAGGCCCUGGUGAUGCCCACUCUGCGCCAGGCUGCUGAAGACAAGUCCUGGCGCGUCCGCUACAUGGUGGCUGACAAGUUCACAGAGCUCCAGAAAGCAGUGGGGCCUGAGAUCACCAAGACAGACCUGGUCCCUGCCUUCCAGAACCUG